AGGAUUUAAUGCAGCUGGAUCGAUAUUCCAACAGCACUGGAAAUGGACAAACACAAAGCGACUACUCGGAAACUAGAAGAAAAACCGCAGAGAGAGGGAAAGCUUUCAGAUUUUCGUGAGUAUUCAUGUGGCUCCUAGGGAGCUGUAUUUAUAGGUAUUGUAACCCUAGAAGGCAUCAAACGGGCCCCCAUAGGCCGGCCCCAGAAACCCUAGGGCGACAGCUUGCUCUCCAAGCAAGCCGUUUCCUGAUCCUUCUAGAAUACCCUGACUUGGCCUCCACGAAGUCAACGGCAGUCAACCAUUUGACCUGGAUCGGUCAAACCGACUUGACCCGAACUCGUCAAAAAUAAAAGCUCCUCAGCUCCCAAGUGCGCCUAAAUCACGCCAUUUCGCGCACUCGCGGCGUCGGCUAGUGCUAGGCUAGGCUAGGCGCGCGCGUGGGCUUGGCCCAAUCCUUUGAUCCACUAAAGCCUUUGAAGGCUUACCAAGGGAAUAGGCUUAUAAACCCUCAAAAGUUUCUUCUCUCCACCAAUGUGGGAUACAAAGGAAAUUGCCAACUUGCAAUUCCUUUAUAUAUAAAAUUCCAACAAUCCCCCACCAAGUUGGUAAGUUUCCUUUCACUCAGACAGAUGAUGUCACUCGGGUGUCACGAAGAUUAAACCCUAGUUUAAUGAGAACAAACAAGAAGAGACCGAUUCAAUGGUAUCCUUAUAGGUUUAAACCAUGAACCUCAAUGACCUCUCCGGUUUACCCCCACACACCACAAGUCAUAUUUGUGUUCUCCCUGAGCGCUAUUAUGGCCAUGCGCUAUAAAUCCUUUUCAUGACCCUUUAGAAGAUAAACCACUAAUCUUCACUUGAGGCGGCACCACCUCUAGAUCAUAUAGGCAUAGUUUUACAACAUCUUCGUUGCUUAGAUGUCUCCAAAACUACGUUAAGAGUCGUAACUCAACCUCAUUCUCGGCAACGACGCACUAUCCUACCUCACAUGGAUCUAUCAUGAAUGAUAGUACCUUCUAUCGUUAGUGAUUUCGUUGUUACCCUUUAAACUUGAAAAUUAGGAGCACUAAUGUCAAGUUGGGUUUCCAUCACUAAACGAUUCUAUUGUGGUUUUAGACCCAUGACUCUCGUGGUAGAUGUAACCAAAUCUCUCGUCAGAGGUUUGGUAAACGGAUCUGCCAAGUUCCUACUUGUCUUGACAUAGACAACCUUGAUGGUACCACUUUCAAUUAGUUGUCUCACAAAAUUGUGACGCAGACCUACAUGUCUUGACUUCCCAUUAUAUACCGCAUUAUAUACUUUAGACAGUGUGGCCUCACUGUCACAGUACAUGGGUAUUGAAGGCAUCGGAAUAUCCCACAAACGUAUAUCCAUAAGUAGAUCUCGAAUCCACUCUGCCUCUUUGCCUGCUGCUGCUAAGGCAAUUAGCUCAGCUUCCAUCGUUGAAUGAGCUAUGCAUGUCUGUUUCUUGCUCGCCCAAGAAAUAGCACCACCAGCUAGAGUAUAAAUCCAACCACUUGUGGAUUUUGAAUCACUGGUGUGAUCAAUCCAGCUGGCAUCAGAAUAACCUUCAAGUAUUCCAUUAGAUGACGAAUAUGUCAAUUCAAAAGUACUUGUCCUUUUCAGGUAUCCUAGUACUCUACCCACUGCUUUCCAGUGCUCCGUCCCUGGAUUAACUGUAUACUGACUCAACUUGCUUACAGCGAAUGCGAUGUCAGGUCGCGUGCAGUGAGUAGCAUACAUCAUGCUCCCAACUGCACUAGCAUAUUCUAGUUGGGCCACAGCUCGACCAGAAUUCACCUUAAGUUUCACACUUGAAUCAAAAGGAGUGUUAAAUUCCUUAAUGUUCAAAUGUUGAAACUUUGUCAGAAUUUUCUCUAUGUAAUGAGAUUGACUCAGAGAAAUCUGACCACCUGUCCUCUUCACCUUGAUACCAAGAAUAGUAUCUACUUCUCCAAGAUCUUUCAUCUUAAAGUUCGAGGAUAGGUAUUUCUUCGUCUCAAGAAUACCUUCUAGGUGAGUGCCAAUGAUCAACAUAUCAUCAACAUAAAGACAUAUAACUACUAUGUAAUCAGAUGUAUGUUUAGAGUAAAUACAUCUGUCAGCACUAUUGUGCUGAAAACCAAAGGCAGUCACAGUGGUGUCAAAUCUCUCAUGCCACUGUUUAGGAGCUUGUUUCAACCCGUACAAAGACUUAACAAGUCUACAUACUUUGUUUUCUUGUCCAGGUAUUACGAAACCUUCAGGUUGCUCCAGGUAAAUCUCCUCUUUGAGAUAACCAUUCAGAAAGGCUGUCUUCACAUCCAUUUGAUGAAUGUACAAUCCCUUCAAAGCUGAUAUUGCUAUGAGAGUUCUAAUUGAACUAAUUCUAGCAACUGGGGCAUAGGUAUCAAAAUAAUCGAUCCCUUCUCGCUGCCUAUAGCCCUUUGCAACCAACCUUGCUUUAUAAGCAGAUAUGGAUCCAUCAGGAUGAUAUUUCUUCUUGAAUAUCCAUUUGGAUCCUAUGGGUCUUCUCCCCUUGGGUAGAUCAGCUAACUCCCAAGUUCCAUUACCCAUAAUUGAAUCCAUUUCGUCAUUGAUUGCUUCCUUCCACAGAGGAGCAUCCCGAGACGUCAUGGCUUCAGUAAAGGUCUUAGGAUCAUCAUCCAAAUUAAUUGAAAAGAUGACCUCUCUCGUCACUUUCUUUUGUGUUCCUUCGACCAAAUAAGAAUAGAAAUCAUCUCCAAAGGUUUUCUCAAUUCUAGCCCUAGUACUUCUCCUUGGUUCCUCCACAAUGGGAGGAGGUGGGAGUAUUUCUCGAGAGGUACUUGUAGGUGUUGUAUGACUAGAGUUUUCUUCAUCCUUAGAAAACUUGUCCUCAAAGAAUUCCACAUCUCUGGAUUCCACAACAACACCAGAAUCAAUAUCUAGUAAUCGGUAAGCCUUGCUAUUUUGAGCAUAUCCAAUAAAUAUACUCUUAUUAGCUCGUGCUCCCAAUUUGGUUCGCUUAGGAUCGGGAGUCCGAUAAUAAGCAACACACCCCCACACUUUCAAAUAGUCUAGGUUAGGCUUUCUACCUUUCCACAACUCAUAAGGGCUUGUAGGAAUCACACGACUAGUGAUCCUGUUAUGAACAUAACAAGCAGUUAAUAGUGCUUCCCCCCACAGAUUGUUUGGUUGACCCGAUUGGUUCAACAUACAGUUGACCAUCUCACAAAGAGUUCGGUUCUUUCUUUCAGCCAAACCAUUCUGUUGAGGGGUGUAUGGUGAUGUUCUCUCAUGUUUGAUUCCAUUCUCUUCGCAGAAUGUGUCAAACUCUUGGUUGAAAUAUUCUCCGCCUCUGUCCGAGCGAAGAAUUUUGAUGUGUCUUUCAAGUUGAUUUUCGACCUCAGCCUUAUAUCGUUUAAAUGCAUCAAAAGCUUCAUCUUUUGAUCUCAGCAAAUAAACAUGUAGAUAUCUACUGAAGUCAUCACAAAAUGUGAUGAAAUACCUUUUUCCUCCUCGAGUAAGGAUUCCAUUUAACUCACAUAUAUCAGAAUGAAUCAACUCAAGUAAAGAUGUGUUUCUCUUAACUGAUGGAAAUGGUUUCUUAGUGAACUUUGAUUUUACACAUGUUUCACAUUUUUCAAAAUCUUUUGUGUCAUAUUUUAACAUACCUUUAGUUUGCAUUUUUUCAAUGUUUUUAACAUUAGUGUGAGCUAAACGUUUAUGCCAUAAAGAAAUUGAACAAACAAUAUAACCAGAAAAGUUCACUUCAUUCACAUUAGCAACCAAUCCAUCAAUUACAUCAUUACCAACACUCGACACACUAGCAACACUAGAAACACCACACUCAACACUAGGACCACUCACAUUACCCUCAUCACUAAGACACAAGCGAUACAUUCCCGAAGUAUUGUUCGCCCUCCCAACAUGUCUUCUGCCUUUAGUGAUCACAAUUUUGCCUCUCUCAAGCACCAUCUUGAACCCACCCUUGUCAAACUUGUCCGCAGAAACCAAACCCUUCGAGAUGGUAGGAACAUGAAGAACAUCUCGAAGAGUCACCCAUUCACCACGUGUGAACUUCAACCGAACAUCACCCUUUCCUAGAACUUCAGCUCUGUGGCCGUCAGCACAGACGACAACCGUCCCUUGUGGCAUGGGGUGGUAGGUGCUAAAGCUUUCUCGAUGCCCACAAACAUGCAUAGUGGCUCUAGUGUCCACGAACCAACCUCGAGCACAUAUUGCUCGAGUAAGAGAGGAGAUCAUGAAAAUCUCUCCAAGGUUCACACUGGCCACCAUGUCAGUCACCUUCUUGACUGCGUGUGCAACCAGUACUGAUUUGCGAUCUUUGCAUUCUCUUGCAUAGUGCCCAAUCUCUCCGCAGACGUGGCAAGGACUGGCCCUUUUUGGCUUUGAGUUAGGAUUCUGAUGACCCGGUUUCUUGAAGCUUUGUUUCUUGGGUCCAAAGUUCUUCUUGUUCUGUCCCCCAGAUUUGCCUUUGUGGCUAGAACUCCCAGCUGACACUUGAUGCACACUUUGUCCAACUUUACCUUUCUUGUCCCUGAUGCGAGUUUCCUCCUCAAUGCGGAGGUGUUUCAUCAGAUCAUCCAAGGAGUAGUCCUCAGACUUGUGCAUCAUUCUCUUAGAGAAAUCUUUCCACGAGGGUGGCAGUUUUGCGAUGAUCGCACCAACCUGAAAGAGUUCUGGAAGAGAGAUGGUGAGUGCGUUCAACUUGUUGACCAUGACUUGGAGUUCAUGCACUUGCUCCAUAAUCGAUUUGUCAUCAACCAUUUGAAACUCAAGGUACUUGGACACAAGGUACUUGUUAGUACCUUCCUCAUGUGCCUUGUACUUAAGUUCCAACGCAUUCCAUAGCUCUUUUGGAUCUUUGACCGGCGAGUAAAGAUCAUAGAGCCGAUCAGAUAGGGAAUUCUUGAUGUGACCCACACACAAUUCCUCGGAUUCUCUACGCAGAAUCCUUUGCUUUUCCAGUUCUGCAAUGACCGCUGGGUCCACAGAUUCCCCCUCCUUGGGAAUUGGAUUAUCUGGAAUUGGUGGCAGUUUUGGGUCCAACACAAAGGAGAGCUUCAAGACAUGAAGCAUGAACUUGACCUUUUCGGCCCAACGAGUGUAGUUUUGACCAUCGAAUUGGUCAAGUUUGGCAAACUCUUGGUUCAUGAAGUGGAGGCUAGCAGUAGUGUCCAUUAGUCUGUUGAUUUAUCACAAAUAAAAACCUUUAAGAUUGUUGUAUAUCAAACUAAAAGACACGCAAGGAAACCGACAAAUAAUAUUGUGAAUUAUAUGUCGAUUAGUUGCGAAUAAUAAAUUCAAUUAUUAUUAUUAAAUUUACCAAGUUUCGUCCAGAAACCAGAUCUAUCCUUCUCGACUAGAUCUGAUUAUAAGAAAGGUAGAAGAAGACUGUCCUGUUAUUGGACGAAUUAAACACAAGACAGAAAAGUAAAACCGACCUGUUGAUUGCUGACUUGAUCUUGAAGCAACUGCACGGAUCAGAUUCCUGUCCUUAAAGGUUUUUACUUCGCUUGUAUUGGCUGUAAGCAACAGAGUAAAACCCCAGGAUUUAAUGCAGCUAGAUCGAUAUUCCAACAGCACUGGAAAUCGACAAACACAAAGCGACUACUCGGAAACUAGAAGAAAAAACCGCAGAGAGAGGGAGAGAGCUUUCAGAUUUUCGUGAGUGUUCAUGUGGCUCCUAGGGAGCUGUAUUUAUAGGUAUUGUAACCCUAGAAGGCAUCAAACGGGCCCCCAUAGGNCGUGAGUAUUCAUGUGGCUCCUAGGGAGCUGUAUUUAUAGGUAUUGUAACCCUAGAAGGCAUUAAACGGGCCCCCAUAGGUCGGCCCCAGAAAUCCUAGGGCGACAGCUUGCUCUCCAAGCAAGCCGUUUCCUGAUCCUUCUAGAAUACCCUGACUUGGCCUCCACGAAGUCAACGACAGUCAAC
This 5916-nucleotide long non-coding RNA is filed under the name Lactuca sativa (garden lettuce). RNAcentral's name for it is "long non-coding RNA (LSAT_LNC002086)". The record is from RNAcentral. Lineage: Eukaryota; Viridiplantae; Streptophyta; Magnoliopsida; Asterales; Asteraceae.